RNAcentral lists this long non-coding RNA (1413 nucleotides) under Homo sapiens (human). RNAcentral's name for it is "non-protein coding ZNF295-AS1:4". The record is from RNAcentral. Lineage: Eukaryota; Metazoa; Chordata; Mammalia; Primates; Hominidae.
GUGAAGGGGACAGGGCACAGAGCCGUGCGAAGCCCCACACUGGCAUUCACCUCAGGCUGAUGACAGUGGCAGUGCGCAGGGGCGCUGCAGGAGGCCGGGGAAGGCGAGGUCACAACAGGCACAAUAGGGAGUCGUUGCCAGGCAACCUCUCUAGGCUUCUGUUGUGAUUCUGCUUUAGUUGGGUCUGGGGGGGUCUCUCUGGAGAGUGGCUAUAAAUGCUAGCCUUUGUGCUGGGCAGCAAAGCAAAUCAUCGGGAAUAACCCGGGAGCCUGGCAGGGAAACCGCUGCACUAUGGAGAGGACGCUUCCAGAUACAGAGGACAAAUCAAGUGAAGGGACGGAACAGGUCACACCCAGAGCGGCACAGAGAUAAAAUGUGGUGUGAGGACACGGCCCAGCCCCACCGUCGUCUUCCAGCCCCACCAUCGUCUUCCAGCCCCACCGUCGUCUUCCAGUCCCACCGUCGUCUUCUAGCCCCACCAUCGUCGUCUUGGACUCUCUGGGUGGCACCACGCUGUGGGUGCUGCUCUCCUCUGUGUCCCAAACGAGUUUGUGCCUCACUUUGUCGGGUUUUGGCUGUGACUUGGAGCCUCACCAAGCUCCCUUUUCCUCUGUCUCCCAUUCUCCUCUCCAGGCCAGGGUGGCUUCCCCAGCCCUCCUCCCCGGGUCCUGCCUGUGCCGAGCCUUCCUCCCAGGAGGGAGGUGAUACUGACUUGAGAUCUUAUGGGUGUUUUGUUUGUGGCUGGGCCUGGCCGACCCUCUCUCCACGGCCUUAGAUCACACUCUGGAUGGAUAGGACAGUCGUCCUCAAUACUGAGCCUCUUUGGAGCAUACCCACUGAUGGUGGUUCACAAGCUACCCACGCCCACAGGCUGACCCAGAUCUCCGUGAAAUUAAAAAAUACUGUGAAAGGAAAAAGAGCCAAUGUCAUGUGGAUAAUGAAGUGUCAGCCACUGAAAAAUCUCAAAAUAAUAAACAUGGCUUGUUUGUCAGGGUUCUCUAGAGAAACAGCAGCAACUGUGUGUGUGUGUGUGUGUGUGUGUGUGUGUGUGUGUGUGUGCGCGCAGAGAGAAAGAAGGAGGGAGGAAGACAUAAGGAAUCAGCUCAUGCAAUUGUGCAGCCUGGCAUGUCCACAGUCUGUAGGAUGGGCCGGCACGCUGGAGACCCAGGAAAGAGCUGCAGUUUGAAUAGGAAGGCCAUGGGCGGGAGAGUUCCUUCCUGUUCAGGGGACCUCAGUCUUUCUCUAGAAGACCUUUGGCUGACCGGAUGAGGCUCAUCCACGCUAUGGACACAAAUCAGCUUUACUCAAAGUCUACUGAUUUAAACGUUAAUCUCAUCUACAAAAAGUACCUUCACAAAAACAUCUAGAACAACGUUUGACCAAAUAUCUGGGUACUGUGGCUUAGCCAGGUUG